This 460-nucleotide ribosomal RNA is filed under the name uncultured bacterium. Its description in RNAcentral is "partial 16S ribosomal RNA". It matches the Rfam family "Bacterial small subunit ribosomal RNA", at positions 338 to 795 of the family's 1533-position model. The record is from RNAcentral.
CCUACGGGAGGCAGCAGUGAGGAAUAUUGGUCAAUGGGCGCGAGCCUGAACCAGCCAAGUCGCGUGAAGGAUGACUGCCCUACGGGUUGUAAACUUCUUUUGUAAAGGAAUACAGUGAGUCACGUGUGCCUUUUUGUAUGUACUUUAUGAAUAAGGAUCGGCUAACUCCGUGCCAGCAGCCGCGGUAAUACGGAGGGUCCGAGCGUUAUCCGGAUUUAUUGGGUUUAAAGGGAGCGUAGAUGGGUUGUUAAGUCAGUGGUGAAAGUUUGCGGCUCAACCGUAAAAUUGCAAUUGAUACUGGCAGUCGUGAGUACAGGUGAGGUAGGCGGAAUUCGUGGGGUAGCGGUGAAAUGCGUAGAUAUCACGAAGAACUCCGAUUGCGAAGGCAGCUUACUAAACUGCCACUGACAUUGAGGCUCGAAAGCGUGGGUAUCAAACAGGAUUAGAUACCCUAGUAGUC